Molecule: ribosomal RNA, 332 nt
Filed under: Penicillium polonicum
Lineage: Eukaryota; Fungi; Ascomycota; Eurotiomycetes; Eurotiales; Aspergillaceae
Description: eukaryotic LSU rRNA
Rfam family: 5.8S ribosomal RNA (bases 1-114)
Source: RNAcentral
AGAACGCAGCGAAAUGCGAUACGUAAUGUGAAUUGCAAAUUCAGUGAAUCAUCGAGUCUUUGAACGCACAUUGCGCCCCCUGGUAUUCCGGGGGGCAUGCCUGUCCGAGCGUCAUUGCUGCCCUCAAGCCCGGCUUGUGUGUUGGGCCCCGUCCUCCGAUUCCGGGGGACGGGCCCGAAAGGCAGCGGCGGCACCGCGUCCGGUCCUCGAGCGUAUGGGGCUUUGUCACCCGCUCUGUAGGCCCGGCCGGCGCUUGCCGAUCAACCCAAAUUUUUAUCCAGGUUGACCUCGGAUCAGGUAGGGAUACCCGCUGAACUUAAGCAUAUCAAUAA